Molecule: transfer RNA, 76 nt
Filed under: Treponema saccharophilum DSM 2985
Lineage: Bacteria; Pseudomonadati; Spirochaetota; Spirochaetia; Treponematales; Treponemataceae
Description: tRNA-Pro
Rfam family: tRNA
About the family: Transfer RNA (tRNA) molecules are approximately 80 nucleotides in length. Their secondary structure includes four short double-helical elements and three loops (D, anti-codon, and T loops). Further hydrogen bonds mediate the characteristic L-shaped molecular structure. tRNAs have two regions of fundamental functional importance: the anti-codon, which is responsible for specific mRNA codon recognition, and the 3' end, to which the tRNAs corresponding amino acid is attached (by aminoacyl-tRNA synthetases). tRNAs cope with the degeneracy of the genetic code in two manners: having more than one tRNA (with a specific anti-codon) for a particular amino acid; and 'wobble' base-pairing, i.e. permitting non-standard base-pairing at the 3rd anti-codon position.
Source: RNAcentral
CGGGUAGUAGCGCAGCUGGUAGCGCACUACGUUCGGGACGUAGGGGUCGCUGGUUCGAAUCCAGUCUACCCGACAA